AACUUUCAACAACGGAUCUCUUGGUUCUGGCAUCGAUGAAGAACGCAGCGAAAUGCGAUAAGUAGUGUGAAUUGCAGAAUUCAGUGAAUCAUCGAAUCUUUGAACGCACAUUGCGCCCCUUGGUAUCCCGAGGGGCAUGCCUGUUCGAGCGUCAUUUCA
Molecule: ribosomal RNA, 159 nt
Filed under: vouchered mycorrhizae (Dothideomycetes)
Lineage: Eukaryota; Fungi; Ascomycota; Dothideomycetes
Description: 5.8S ribosomal RNA
Rfam family: 5.8S ribosomal RNA
About the family: 5.8S ribosomal RNA (5.8S rRNA) is a component of the large subunit of the eukaryotic ribosome.
Source: RNAcentral